GACGAACGCUGGCGGCGUGCUUAACACAUGCAAGUCGAACGGAAAGGCGCGGCUUUUGUGGGGUGCUCGAGUGGCGAACGGGUGAGUAACACGUGAGUAACCUGCCCUUGGCUUUGGGGUAACUUCAGGAAACUGGGGCUAAUACCGGAUAGGAGCUCCUGCUGCAUGGUGGGGGGUGGAAAGUUUCGGCGGUUGGGGAUGGACUCGCGGCUUAUCAGCUUGUUGGUGGGGUAGUGGCUUACCAAGGCUUUGGCGGGUAGCCGGCCUGAGAGGGUGACCGGCCACAUUGGGACUGAGAUACGGCCCAGACUCCUACGGGAGGCAGCAGUGGGGAAUAUUGCACAAUGGGCGGAAGCCUGAUGCAGCAACGCCGCGUGCGGGAUGACGGCUUUCGGGUUGUAAACCGCUUUCGCCUGUGACGAAGCGUGAGUGACGGUAAUGGGUAAAGAAGCACCGGCUAACUACGUG
RNAcentral lists this ribosomal RNA (468 nucleotides) under uncultured bacterium. RNAcentral describes it as "partial 16S ribosomal RNA". It matches the Rfam family "Bacterial small subunit ribosomal RNA", at positions 28 to 507 of the family's 1533-position model. The record is from RNAcentral.